RNAcentral lists this ribosomal RNA (448 nucleotides) under uncultured bacterium. Its description in RNAcentral is "partial 16S ribosomal RNA". It matches the Rfam family "Bacterial small subunit ribosomal RNA", at positions 329 to 794 of the family's 1533-position model. The record is from RNAcentral.
UCCCAGACUCCUACGGGAGGCAGCAGUGGGGAAUAUUGCACAAUGGGGGGAACCCUGAUGCAGCGACGCCGCGUGAGGGAAGAAGGUUUUUGGAUUGUAAACCUCUGUCCUUGGUAAAGAAGCAAGACGGUAGCCAAGGAGGAAGCCACGGCUAACUCCGUGCCAGCAGCCGCGGUAAUACGGAGGAUGCGAGCGUUAUCCGGAUUUAUUGGGUUUAAAGGGUGCGUAGGCGGACGCUUAAGUCAGCGGUAAAAUGGCGGGGCUCACCCUCCUCGAGCCGUUGAAGCUGGGUGCCUUGAGUGGGCGAGAAGUACGCGGAAUGCGUGGUGUAGCGGUGAAAUGCAUAGAUAUCACGCAGAACUCCGAUUGCGAAGGCAGCGUGCCGGCGCCCAACUGACGCUGAAGCACGAAGGCGUGGGUAUCGAACAGGAUUAGAUACCCCUGUAGA